Equus asinus (donkey) is the source of this 2271-nucleotide long non-coding RNA. The record is from Ensembl. Lineage: Eukaryota; Metazoa; Chordata; Mammalia; Perissodactyla; Equidae.
UGGAUGGGCUCACAGUGGAUGGGCUCACAGUUGGAUUGGCUCACCAUGGAUGGGCUCACAGUGGAUGGGCUCACAGUUGGAUGGGCUCACAGUGGAUGGGAUCACAGUGGAUGGGCUCACAGCAGUCCUCUCACCUGGCUGCACAUCCAAUCACCUGGGUCCUCUUAUAUUUCCCAGGACUCCGUGGCACACCUGGCCCAUUAAAUCAGAAAGUUUGGGGUGAUGAGCCAGGCAUAAAGGCCAGAGGAAGGCAGAGAAGAUGAGGAGACCAGCUAAGUUGCAUAGUGCAGAAUAAUGCACUGCCUUGCAGCCACCCAGACCAGAGUUCAAAUCCCAGCUCUGCUGUGUGCUCUUACUAGGUGAUCUUGGAGAAGCUGCCUGACCCCUCCAGGCCUUGGAACUCUAAUCUAUAAAAUGGUGGUGUUAAUAACCGUCAUCUCCAGUAUCUGUGACGCUGUGGGUUAAGUAACAUCCGCUCUGGCUGUGGGAUCCUAGACAUGUUAUUUUGCCUCCCUCUGCUUCAGUGAACCCAUCUUUAAAAUGGGAAUGAUAACUCUUACUCAUAGAGGUGGAGUAAGGAUUAAAUCCAUUAAAUGAAUCAAUCUACACAAAGUACUUAGAACAACAUCUGGCCUGUCCCAAGAGCUUGGCACACCCCCCACGCCCCACCUCCCUCCUGCGGUCAGGGGCCCCCUAGGCAGGGAUAGUCUCUUGGUGUCUCUUUCUUCUUAAGUGGAAGAUGGCCCCAGGACAGAGGGAGCAGCGAGGGCCUGGAUGCCCUGGAGGAGUGAAGAACCAUAGAGAUUGGUUUCCAAACUCAAAUAGUACUUAGUGAGCACCAGCCCUGUGCCAGGCACCGGGCUGGACACGCUGGCAGCAUUUCCUCUGAUCCAAGUGCAACCCUGAGGGGCACGGUUCCCAGCAUUUCUGGAGGGGAACCCAAGAGUCAGAGAUGUCAGGGACAGCCAACUGCCCUUGGAGAAGCGGAAUAGAAGGAAUUCGAAACCAUGACCUGUGACUCUGUGUCCCCUAUUCUGCCUUCAUCAUGCCACGCUCUUCAUGUCUCAAAUAGAAGUUCCUGCAGAGGAGGUGUCAGGCUCAGCGAGCAAAGCUGGGCCCUGUGGAAUCACUGAAUAGCAGAUUUCAAGUCACUAUAAGCACCCUGUCUAACAGUCCAAGCUUCCCCAAGCUGAGAAGUGCUGCCUUAGGGGGAAUGGGCCCCCUGUCCCCAGUCGUGGCAUCUCAGAAGCUCUUCCUGGCUCCCUGGAUUGGUGUGAGUUCCCUGCUAGGUCAUCCCACCCUAGAGUUCAUCACACUGUGUGGUAACUGAUGGAUCACAGUUACAGUCUGAAAGAGCUUCACUCUCCUAGCGGCAGCAGACCUGGAAUGUCCCAGUGCUGUGGGAAGCCGGCUCAGCGCCUGAGAGUCUCCAUGCUGCACGACCUGGGAAGUGAGCGCCCUUUGAAGGGAAUCACAGCCAAAUCAGUUUUCCCUGUUUGUAAAAUGGGGUGCAGAGCUGAGGAGAGUUGGCUAUCAUCACACUCCCUGCAGAGCAGUGGGCAGCUGACUGGGAAGCCCCGACACAGGCAAAAAACUCAAGGCCUAAAGGAGUGAAAUAGAAGAUCCAGGACCUGGGUGGCUUGAUAAGGAGACAUGAGCACCAAGCUUGUGGUCAGAAGAAGUGGAUUCAAGAGCUAGACAGUUUAGAGAGAUGUUGACAAUAACGCCAGAAACCCAGGCUGAGAACAAUAACCUUGGUGGGCACAGAUGCUCCCUCUUAGCUGUGGGCUUAGGGGCAGUGAAGGCCCCAUUAUCAGGCUGAGGAGACCAACCAAGCUUGCAUGCAGACGCUCUCCGUUCCUGGGCCGGAUCCCGGGAGACCCUGGCAUACAGGGCUUUCUUUCAGGCAGUAACCAACACUGGGGGCUCAGGCCACAGGCACGCCUCACUCAGCUCUCCCCCGCCCUUGCUGCCUCAGGGGCUGGGAGGACAGAAAGCUCCUUGCGGGCAGGCACUUCCCCAGGAAAGGCAGACCGGUGGAGUCUGGAUGCAGAGCUUUCUGCCAACAGAACUUCCCACGGGCAGCCUGAAAUGAGCAGCAAUUACACGUGGCCUCUAGGGCCACAUUUGAUAAGAAGAGCUGCAAUUUACUGUGUCCCUACUAUGUACGAAGCACGUUAAAUUUGUUAUUUACUUAGCAACUAUUCUCUGAGUGCCUUGAAGUGCCAGGCCCUGGCUGGGGACCAGGGGUACAUGGCCCCUGCCCCUAUG